Molecule: ribosomal RNA, 255 nt
Filed under: uncultured bacterium
Lineage: Bacteria
Description: partial 16S ribosomal RNA
Rfam family: Bacterial small subunit ribosomal RNA
Source: RNAcentral
CGGACGGGUGAGUAACNCGUGGAAAACCUGCCGUAUACUGGGGGAUAACACUUAGAAAUAGGUGCUAAUACCGCAUAAGCGCACAGCUUCGCAUGAAGCGGUGUGAAAAACUCUGGUGGUAUACGAUGGUUCCGCGUCUGAUUAGCUAGUUGGUGGGGUAAUGGCCUACCAAGGCAACGAUCAGUAGCCGGCCUGAGAGGGUGAACGGCCACAUUGGGACUGAGACACGGCCCAAACUCCUACGGGAGGCAGCAG